Long non-coding RNA from Peromyscus eremicus (cactus mouse), 494 nucleotides. RefSeq lists it as uncharacterized. The record is from RefSeq and is a predicted model, not a curated record. The transcript is spliced from 4 exons. NCBI's taxonomy places the organism in Eukaryota, Metazoa, Chordata, Mammalia, Rodentia, Cricetidae.
GAGAAAAGCAAGUACUGAGAAGAAUUGUCCCACACAUCUAGACAUGCUUCUUCAACUCAGGCACCCUGAAGACUCUUAGAGACAGCACUUCAUCCAAGAAGUUCCUGGUUCAAGCAAGAGAUGUUCAACCCAGUCUUGAUAGUACCUUAUUCGUAAUUAAUGCACAAAUCCUCACUGAUGCUGAACUGAAAAACAGGCAGGAUGGAGCCAGGUGGGAAGAUCCAAGAGAGACAGGGAAAGGAGAAAGAAGAAGUAGAGAAGAGAUGCCAGCCACCACCAGGAGAAGCAAGAUGUGAACGUACCGCUUCAGAUUCUCUCAAAAAAAUGAUGAUAUGCAAAUAUCGCUGUAAAACCUACUGGAAGUUACAGGCUACAUUACAAAUAAAAUGAGAUUUUUAGAUGGAAACACACAAACACCCCAAAAAAUCCUUUUUUGUCUCUGCUUUUCAUUUUUGAUGUCGCAAUCUUAAAUAAAUGAGUAACGUAUGCCUAGA